This 492-nucleotide ribosomal RNA is filed under the name uncultured bacterium. Its description in RNAcentral is "partial 16S ribosomal RNA". It matches the Rfam family "Bacterial small subunit ribosomal RNA", at positions 29 to 507 of the family's 1533-position model. The record is from RNAcentral.
AGUGAACGCUGGCGGUAGGCCUAACACAUGCAAGUCGAACGGCAGCACAGUAAGAGCUUGCGCUUACGGGUGGCGAGUGGCGGACGUGUGAGGAAUACAUCGGAAUCUACUUUUUCGUGGGGGAUAACGUAGGGAAACUUACUCUAAUACCGCAUACGACCUACGGGUGAAAGCAGUGGAUCGUCUGGCCUUUCGCGGUUGAAUGAGCCGCUGUGGGAUUUGCUGGUUGGCGGGGUAAAUGCCCACCAAGGCGACGAUACGUAGCUGGUGUGGGAGGAUGAUCAGCCACACUGGAACUGAGACACGGUCCAGACUCCUACGGGAGGCAGCAGUGGGGAAUAUUGGACAAUGGGCGCAAGCAUGAUCCAGCCAUACCGCGUGGGUGAAGAAGGCCUUCGGGUUGUAAAGCCCUUUUGUUGGGAAAGAAAAGCAGCAGGUUAAUACCCCGCUGUUCUGACGGUACCCAAAGAAUAAGCACCGGCUAACUUCGUG